GUGAGUAUUAAAUUUCUUUAUCACUUUUAAAUUAAUUUUGGUGAUUAGCUUAGUAAUUAGAAGCAAAAAUUGCAUUUUUGUGUUUUGAAGGACUAAUUUUUGCUUGUUUUUGGUGUUUUGAACUUGAAACCGACAAUGUAAAUGUAAGAGAACCAUUCUUGUAUCAGAUUGUAAGUACUAAAUUUCUUUACCAUUUUCAUAUAUAACUAUGGUGAUUAGCUUAUUAAUUAACAUCAAAAACUGUAUUUUUGUGUUUCGUAGGACUAAUGUUUGUUUGUUUUAGGGGCUUUUCACCUGAACCCGACAUCGUACAAGAACUAUUUUUGCAUCAGAUUGUGCUUUAAACCUGAACCCGACAUCGCAGAAGAACCAUUCCUGUAUCAGAUUGUGUUUCGAACCUGAAGCCGACAUCGUAGAAGAACCAUUCUUGUAUCAGAUUUUCGACCUUGUCUUGCGCAGCAUAUUCGGCGCUGCCAUUUGAGCAGUACCGUGCCGGUUGCCGGCUUCAAGUGCGUCCGCACGUUACGUUAGUCAGUCGAUGGUACGCAGUUGUGUUGAGUGCACGUGUUCUUUUUCUCUGUCCAUCUUCAUCGCGACUGGUAGCAAUUCAGUACGGUACAAGCAUUAGAAUCGUUUGCCAUCGACUACUAAGUGAUUUAUCACGAAUCGACUCCACAAUUAAGAGACUUUUCCAUUUGCGCGUGUGAAUGCCAUUGGCCACCGGCCGUCGGAUCUCUUUCGUGGGGCUACGGAUUCUAAUUGGAUUUACUGGUCAAAAUUAUUCAAUUGUUAAUUCGUGCGGAUAAAUCACGCGUUUUCUCAAUGUGGUAUUGUUGCCAGUGCAAAAGUUAACAGGGAGUAGUAACAUCAAUUUUACUCUGUGCGCUUAGGUACUUCAUAAAUGGAACCAGAAGAAUGUAACAUCAAAUAAAAAUGUUGUCUGUUAAAUUUUACAGAUAAUAAUACCUGUACUCUGUUCAGUAAAUAAAGGAUAAUUUAAUUUUAA
Long non-coding RNA from Dalotia coriaria, 1006 nucleotides. RefSeq lists it as uncharacterized. The record is from RefSeq and is a predicted model, not a curated record. The transcript has 4 exons. Lineage: Eukaryota; Metazoa; Arthropoda; Insecta; Coleoptera; Staphylinidae.